This 468-nucleotide ribosomal RNA is filed under the name uncultured bacterium. Its description in RNAcentral is "partial 16S ribosomal RNA". It matches the Rfam family "Bacterial small subunit ribosomal RNA", at positions 28 to 507 of the family's 1533-position model. The record is from RNAcentral.
GACGAACGCUGGCGGCGUGCUUAACACAUGCAAGUCGAACGGAAAGGCCCUGCUUUUGUGGGGUGCUCGAGUGGCGAACGGGUGAGUAACACGUGAGUAACCUGCCCUUGACUUUGGGAUAACUUCAGGAAACUGGGGCUAAUACCGGAUAGGAGCUCCUGCUGCAUGGUGGGGGUUGGAAAGUUUCGGCGGUUGGGGAUGGACUCGCGGCUUAUCAGCUUGUUGGUGGGGUAUUGGCUUACCAAGGCUUUGACGGGUAGCCGGCCUGAGAGGGUGACCGGCCACAUUGGGACUGAGAAAAGGCACAGACUGCUACGGGAGGCAGCAGUGGGGAAUAUUGCACAAUGGGCGGAAGCCUGACGAAGCAACGCGGCGUGCGGGAUGACGGCCUUCGGGUUGUAAACCGCUUUCGCCUGUGACGAAGCGUGAGUGACGGUAAUGGGUAAAGAAGCACCGGCUAACUACGUG